UCAGCCUAUUUUCUUCAUUAUGGCCGGCCAAAGCAUGAAGUGAAGAAGAACAAAGAAAGAACAAAACCUAGGUGGGAAAAUUGAAGAAAAAGUGUGGGAUUUCAAGGGAUUAAGCUAAUAAAGGUAAAAUUUGUGAUUUUAUCUUGUGAUUUACACUACCCAUGCUUUCUUUUUCUUUUUCCAUGCUUAGAACUCAAGUUUUCAUGAUGAACCCAUGUUGGCCAAAUUUGAGAGGAGAGGUUUUGAGCAUUGAUUUUGCUAGAUUUCAAGUUAAUUAAGUGUUUUUGGUUGUUUAGUAAUGGAAAGUAUGAAAAUCUAGCAAGAAAUCACUUUGUUUUUCACAAACCCACAAGAGGUCGAAUUUUUUAGGGAGGAUAUUGAGGCUGAAAUUGAUGAUAUUUCAUGAUAUUUUGGUGGUAUUUAAUGAUUGGUGAGGCUAGAAAUUUAAUGGGAAAUUUUGGCAUGAAAAUCUAAAUUUUUACCUAAUGUAUAAACAUGUGCAAUUUAUGGUUCGGACUGAUAAAUUGAAUUAUAUUCACAGUCAUUGAGGUAUUUUAAGUAUAAUUGGAGUGUAGAAAGUGAAAAAAAAUCGAUUUGGAGUUAAAUUGGAGGUUUUAGCCAAUUACACCGAGAAUAGUGUGAAUUAGGUCGAAUACCGUAUUUAAACGGCUAUUCGGACAUUUUUGCAUUCCAUAUCAUGCAUUAGUAGUCUAAAUUAGUUUAAUUUCAAUUUAGUAUCAAUGUGGUGAAUUUCUCGAUUUUGUACUGUGUCAAGGUGGUGAGUCCUCCGAUAAAGACAAGGAAAUUGCAUCCGAGGACCAGUAGACAAAGAGUCCUCCGAUAAAGACAAGGAAAUUGCAUCCGAAGACCAGUAGACAGAGUACUUCGAAAGUUUGCAUUCUAGACAUUGUGAGUAAACUUAUUGUCAUUUUAAUUAUCUAGGGUGACUUUUAGAUGAUUUCAUGAAUUCUAUGGAAAAAUGGAUUUAAAAAGGUAAAUUUUCAUGUUUUAUGAAUAAAGGUGUUCCAAUGAAAUUAAUUUAUAAAUUGUUUUGAAAUUAAUAAUGAUUUUGAAAAAUAGAGUACAUGGAGACUGUUAAUUGUGGUAAUUUGAUUGUUUAAAUUGAUGACUUAUGUUAUAUUGUUAUUGUGUUGGCAUGACUGGCUGGGCUGUGUUUUAUGAAUUGUAUGAAUUGUUUUAUUUUACCCUUGUAGGCUGGGUAGUAUUUCAUUAGCCCUGUCAUGCCGUCAAAAUUUUAUUAUAUGGUGGAUUAUAUAUUAAUUAAUCACUGCAGUAGGUGGUUUCUGUGGACCAGCCUUUUAGAGGGGCACAGUAAACCCCAUUAUAUUCUUACCUCGAACGGAGAGGCGCGUUGGGUAUCUCCUGGGGUAAAGCUUAGGGUUCACUUCACGCCAAACCACCACGUGAGAGGGAACUCAGCCAACGCCAAGGAACGACUAUGUUUUUAAAAUAAAAACAUGAUGUAUGCGAAAUGUGAAUUUUUAAUAGCCUUGGCGGUCUCGGUAGGAUGCCUCGGCCAAGGUGUCCCUGAGAAUGAAUUUAUGGCACAAGCCUAGUUUUUAUGAGAUUCAUAAGCCUCUUUACGUAUUUUGAAUGAAAUGUGUUCUAAUACUAUGACCCAGUUUACGAUGAUUUAUUUUAUUGUCUCCAUGUACUUAACUCUAGAUAUUUAUGAUGAUGUCUGUUUACUCACUGGGAUUAUAAAAUCUUACCACUCUCCUUUUCACCCAUUUUUGGUUCAGAAUAGGCUGUAGAUAGCUGAUCUCAUCGAGGACUAUUGUUGGAAUUGCAUUUUCCAAACUGUAGGUUCACAAUCUUCUUUAUUUUUGUUUAUUCGGGGGGGGGGGGCACUUGUUAUUGUAAAUUAAAUUUCGUACUCUAGAUAUCUAUACUACUGUAUGUAGAAAUUUAUUUUGCUUUGACGCUGUAAAAAUUAUUUACGCAGUGUUUUAAAAAUAUUGUUUUAUAAGAAAAUAGAAUAUUUUACUUUAUUUCUUUUAUUUUUCUAUUACAUCCAAAUAAGCAUAAUUUCGUUUUAAAUGAAGAUUUUAGACUUUAAAACUCAUUUUUUAUUAUGAAUUAUGUGUUUUGUACUUGUAUAUUCAUUUUAGCCGGUUUCGAACUUAUUGGGAAAAAAAUGACCAAAAUACCCCUGUGAGACGAAAAUUAUUAUUUUAUUUGUUUUAAGUUGGAAACAGUUUAAAAUCUUUUACAACGUGGUAAUUGGCAACAGUUACUCACAGGGGAAAUGAUAAACUGAUAUUAAAGCCUUGCGGGGUUCAGGUUGACAUUUGGGGUAAUGAGUGUCGAUCGGGACGUUGCGACGGUUGUCACGGGCUCGAGGGGAGUACCAGGUCGUGACAUGCAUCAUCAUCACUCACAACCAUCAUAGUGUCAUUUGUGAAUGACAAUGGACCCACUGCAUUUUCGAGUGACAGUUGUGUUUGUUGCAAAGAACCAAGUAUUUCAUUCGAUGCACAUUCAGAUCGAAAUUGUGCAGACAUCAUUUGCAGACACCUUAUGUGUGUGCUGGGCUGCUCAAACUCAUGAGGAUACGUCAAACGUGAUUGUCAUGGUUGUUUGUUAGGAAAUGCAUGGUGUGGUAUGUAAGAAUAAUUUACAUUCUGUUGUAGGUGAUUACUAUGUUGGAUACCAUAUUCAUGUGGAAUAUCAUUUGCAUUUUGUGCCUUAACUAUCACAAACACAACAACUAGCCUCUCAUCUUGUAGGAUACUUGCUACAUCUUCAUCAUCUCUGAUAACUACACACGAAACCCCUACGGCAUGACUGAGCGAUGCAUGUAGCUCGAUUUCAUUAUUAUGUGAGUUGACCCCAACAACCUCUUCAACUAGCUUCACUAGGCCCGAAAAUGACAAAUCACUCCCAACACCCCUCACUCGUGUCUCACAACCCUUGUAAGUGUCAUCGUAUGUAAUCAUAAGCUUCACAUUUGG
This 2975-nucleotide long non-coding RNA is filed under the name Theobroma cacao (cacao). Its description in RNAcentral is "long non-coding RNA (TCAC_LNC003683)". Lineage: Eukaryota; Viridiplantae; Streptophyta; Magnoliopsida; Malvales; Malvaceae. The record is from RNAcentral.